AAAAAAGAUAAACCUGGGUUUCCGUAUCCAACAUUUGAUUAUCCGUCUUAUAUGAAUUUUUUUAUAAUUAGUAUUUUUAUUGUUGUUAGGUGGUAAAACAUGAUUAAUACUUUAUAUGUGACUUGUCUUUUUGAUUUUUUCAAAUAAGACGGAUGGUCAAACGUUGGACACGGAAACUCAGAGUU
RNAcentral lists this microRNA precursor (185 nucleotides) under Oryza rufipogon (brownbeard rice). RNAcentral's name for it is "MIR812 microRNA precursor family". It matches the Rfam family "MIR812 microRNA precursor family". The record is from Rfam by way of RNAcentral. Lineage: Eukaryota; Viridiplantae; Streptophyta; Magnoliopsida; Poales; Poaceae.